RNAcentral lists this ribosomal RNA (428 nucleotides) under uncultured archaeon. Its description in RNAcentral is "bacterial SSU rRNA". It matches the Rfam family "Archaeal small subunit ribosomal RNA", at positions 474 to 903 of the family's 1478-position model. The record is from RNAcentral.
UACCUGCAGCUCGAGUGGUAACCGCUAUUAUUGGGCCUAAAGCGUCCGUAGCCGGUUUGGUAAAUAUCUGGGUAAAUCGUGAGGCUUAACUUCACGAAUUUCGGAUAGACUGCCAGACUUGGGAUCGGGGGAGGUCAGAGGUACUCCAGGGGUAGCGGUGAAAUGUUGUAUCCUUGGAGGACCACCGGUAGCGAAGGCGUCUGACUAGAACGAGUCCGACGGUGAGGGACGAAGCCCUGGGGCGCAAACCGGAUUAGAUACCCGGGUAGUCCAGGGUGUAAACGAUGUGGGCUUUGUAUUGGAGGUCCCACGUGGGCGUCCAGUGCAGAAGAGAAGUUGUUAAGCCCACCGCCUGGGAAGUACGGUCGCAAGGCUGAAACUUAAAGGAAUUGGCGGGGGAGCACAGCAACGGGAGGAGCGUGCGGUUU